AUUCCUACGGGAGGCAGCAGUAGGGAAUCUUCCACAAUGGACGAAAGUCUGAUGGAGCAACGCCGCGUGAGUGAAGAAGGGUUUCGGCUCGUAAAACUCUGUUGUUAAAGAAGAACAUAUCUGAGAGUAACUGUUCAGGUAUUGACGGUAUUUAACCAGAAAGCCACGGCUAACUCCGUGCCAGCAGCCGCGGUAAUAA
Molecule: ribosomal RNA, 199 nt
Filed under: uncultured Lactobacillus sp.
Lineage: Bacteria; Bacillati; Bacillota; Bacilli; Lactobacillales; Lactobacillaceae
Description: partial 16S ribosomal RNA
Rfam family: Bacterial small subunit ribosomal RNA
Source: RNAcentral